This is a long non-coding RNA of Herpailurus yagouaroundi (jaguarundi), 869 nucleotides long. RefSeq lists it as uncharacterized. The record is from RefSeq and is a predicted model, not a curated record. The transcript is spliced from 2 exons. Lineage: Eukaryota; Metazoa; Chordata; Mammalia; Carnivora; Felidae.
UUUGAUGACGACUGUGUUUGUGUCUUGCUUACAACAGGUCGUGAAUGUCUGUGAGGUUAGUCCGCUCAAGACCAAGCCCAGCGUCUACCGAUUAAAAGCAGCCAUUCGUCUCAGCCCUGCUUCUGGGGCUGUUUGCCCUCUAUCGACCCCUUCCUGACACUCAGAGGAAUUGAACGCUCUUCCACUGACCAUUCUCCUCCUGGACCCUCGGCUUCCCCUCAAAGUUGACCAACCCCCGUGGGUUCUCUGUUCUCCUUUGCAACCCAGGCCUAACAUGCAGGACCAGCCACAAAGCUCGGGAGCCCAGCGCAGAGUGAAAAUGAGGGGCCCCUUCUGAGCACGGGGCCUGGUAUGACUACCAUGAAGCCAGCACUGCCUGAAGGUCUGCAACUUCAGGCCCUGCUCCAGUCCCUCUCCCUCUUGGUCCUGAAGCUCUCGACAUCCGUGGCUACCCUUUUCCUCUCAGCCUCCCCAGGUCCUGCUCAAAGAGUCUUCUAUGCAUCUGUGCUCCUGAAAGAGGGAACUUCAUCCAGGAUCUUGCAGAUCGCCCAUCCGUCUUACUGCAGACACUGCUCGCCACGACUGUCUUCCUGAAGCACUGGCCGAAGUCCUCCCCGGGAGGAGCAGAGGGGUGGGUCCACAGAGUCGGAGUGUGCAGUGUGCAACCUGCAUAGCUGUAUGCAGCAGCCUCGAGUCAAAGGAGGACUUGCCCAGGAACCAAAAUUAGGUGUCCAGGAAGGUCUUCAGGCAGAGUUUAUGUGCCCAGGACUAGUAACAAGAAGUGACCCUCAGAUAUCAUAUCACUUACUAUACCCCAAUCCCUGGUUAAGUUUUUUGCACAUAUUAAAUAAUCGAUUUCUUUCUCACAA